GUCGCGGGCUGGCGGCGGCCAUGGAGGGGCUGCGUCGCGGGCUGUCCCGCUGGAAGCGCUACCACAUCAAGGUACACCUGGCCGAUGAGGCGUUGCUGCUGCCACUGACCGUGCGGCCCCGCGACACACUGAGCGACCUGCGCGCGCAGCUAGUGGGCCAGGGCGUGAGCUCGUGGCGCAGAACCUUCUACUACAACGCUAGGCCGCUGCCCGACCAUCAGACUGUGCGCGAGGCGCGCUUGCAGGACGGCUCGGUAUUGCUGCUGCUCAGCGACCCCAGGUAGUCAAGGCUGGAGGAGAUGGAGCCAUGAUUUUAGGAACACAAGGCGGCUGAAGGAGCAGGCUGGGCCAGGGGGCGCCACACCUCUCCCUUCCUGGGAGCCCAGCCUUUUCCAGGUGCCGGGUUCCCAGGUAGAUGCAACGUCCCAACCCUACUGAUACCCACUGUUUCCCGUGUUCCUGAUGGUGACUUCAGACUCUGUCCACCUCUCCAGCAAGGAGCCUUCUGGUUUCUCUGUGGCCUUGGGGACCGUCCCCCUCCCCAGGGACCCUCCGCUGCCUGGAUCCUCCAUCAAUCCCCAGAACACAGCCUCUUCCAGGAAGCCCUCCAGUCACGAGACACAGUUCCAUCUUUGGGGACCCACGGGCC
This is an RNA transcript of Acomys russatus (golden spiny mouse), 649 nucleotides long. It is a transcript of the gene named TINCR ubiquitin domain containing, with no coding region annotated. NCBI's taxonomy places the organism in Eukaryota, Metazoa, Chordata, Mammalia, Rodentia, Muridae. The transcript is spliced from 3 exons. The record is from RefSeq and is a predicted model, not a curated record.